CGAAACAGUGAUGUGGAGUAAAACUUAGAAAAACGGUCUCAGUUCGGAUUGAAGGCUGAAAUUCGCCUUCAUGAAGCUGGAAUUGCUAGUAAUGGCAGGUCAGCAUACUGCCGUGAAUACGUUCCCGGGCCUUGUACACACCGCCCGUCACACCAUGAGAGUUGGAAAUACCCGAAGCCUGUGAGCUAACUUUUAGAGGCAGCAGUCGAAGGUAGAGCCAAUGAUUGGGGUGAAGUCGUAACAAGGUAAC
RNAcentral lists this ribosomal RNA (250 nucleotides) under uncultured bacterium. RNAcentral describes it as "partial 16S ribosomal RNA". It matches the Rfam family "Bacterial small subunit ribosomal RNA", at positions 1250 to 1500 of the family's 1533-position model. The record is from RNAcentral.